AGCAGCCGCGGUAAUUCCAGCUCCAAUAGCGUAUAUUAAAGUUGUUGCAGUUAAAAAGCUCGUAGUUGAAUUUCGGGGUUCUACCGUUGGUCGGGCAAUUGUCUGUACUGGCGUGUGGAAUUUCUACCUUCUGGAGAACCAUCAUGUUAUUAAUUUAGCGUGGUGGGAAACCAGAACCUUUACCUUGAAAAAAUUAGAGUGUUCAAAGCAGGCUUACGUCUGAAUACAUUAGCAUGGAAUAAUAAAUAGGACGUGGUCCUGUUUGUGGUUUCUGAAUCACCGUAAUGAUUAAUAGGGAUAGUUGGGGGCAUUAGUAUUCAAUUGUCAGAGUGAAAUUCUUGGAUUUAUUGAAGACUAACUUCUGCGAAAGCAUUUGCCAAGGAUGUUUCAUUAAUCAAGAACGAAAGUUAGGGGAUCGAAGACGAUCAGAUACCGUCGUAGUCUUAACCAUAAACCUAUGCCGACUAGGGAUCGGACGAUGUUAAAUUUUCUUGUACUUCGUUCGGUCGUCCUUACGGGA
Molecule: ribosomal RNA, 520 nt
Filed under: uncultured Gigaspora
Lineage: Eukaryota; Fungi; Glomeromycota; Glomeromycetes; Diversisporales; Gigasporaceae
Description: SSU rRNA
Rfam family: Eukaryotic small subunit ribosomal RNA
Source: RNAcentral